RNAcentral lists this ribosomal RNA (520 nucleotides) under uncultured bacterium. Its description in RNAcentral is "bacterial SSU rRNA". It matches the Rfam family "Bacterial small subunit ribosomal RNA", at positions 777 to 1296 of the family's 1533-position model. The record is from RNAcentral.
AAUAGAUACCCGGGUAGUCCACGCUGUAAACGAUGAGUGCUAGGUGUAGGAGGUAUCGACACCUUCUGUGCCGCAGUAAACGCAAUAAGCACUCCGCCUGGGGAGUACGGUCGCAAGACUAAAACUCAAAGGAAUUGACGGGGGCCCGCACAAGCAGCGGAGCAUGUGGUUUAAUUCGAAGCAACGCGAAGAACCUUACCAGGGCUUGACAUCUACCUAACACUGUAGAGAUACGGUGGUGCCUUUCGGGGAAAGGUAGGACAGGUGGUGCAUGGUUGUCGUCAGCUCGUGUCGUGAGAUGUUGGGUUAAGUCCCGCAACGAGCGCAACCCUUGUCAUUAGUUGCUAACAGUAAGAUGAGCACUCUAAUGAGACUGCCGGGGACAACUCGGAGGAAGGUGGGGAUGACGUCAAAUCAUCAUGUCCCUUAUGUCCUGGGCUACACACGUGCUACAAUGGCUAGAACAAUGAGAUGCAAGAUGGCAACAUGGAGCAAAUCUUAAAAACUAGUCCCAGUUCGG